Molecule: non-coding RNA, 380 nt
Organism: Pelobates cultripes (western spadefoot toad)
Lineage: Eukaryota; Metazoa; Chordata; Amphibia; Anura; Pelobatidae
Source: the annotation of a GenBank genome assembly
CGUUCGUUCGUUUGUGAGGCUACACAUUUAUCUGCAAAAGAUACAUGGCAGUUUUAUAACCACAUGUAGUGUGUUACACCAAAAGUUAGUAAAAAUAUCACAUGGAAUAUCUGCAUAUGAGGUGCACUUAAAAUUAAAUUUCACACAAAUCCAAUUACCUACUAUUAACGCCAAAGUCGGGUUGCAGUUUUUCUCUACACAUUAGAUGUGCGUAAAAUAAAAGUAAAUUUAACAUGACACUCUUGUAACCCUCAUCCUAUCCAACAGCCAGUCUCACAGCUCACUGCAUUCCAGCUGUUGUAGGUGAACUAAGAUUGUGCUAAUUUAUUUUUUAUUUAUUUUUUUAAUCAAGAAACAUAAUGAGCUAUGGGUAAAUGUUC